This 449-nucleotide ribosomal RNA is filed under the name uncultured bacterium. RNAcentral describes it as "bacterial SSU rRNA". It matches the Rfam family "Bacterial small subunit ribosomal RNA", at positions 29 to 524 of the family's 1533-position model. The record is from RNAcentral.
AGCGAACAUUGGCGGUAGGCUUAACACAUGCAAGUCGAGCGAGGCGUAAUAGUCGAGCGGCGAACGGGUGAGUAAUACUUGGGAAUCUGCCCUGAAGUGGGGGAUAACGUCCAGAAAUGGACGCUAAUACCGCAUAAUCCAUAUCGGGAAAGCGCGCUGCGCUUUAGGAUGAGCCCAAGUCUGAUUAGCUAGUUGGCGGGUAAAGGCCCACCAAGGCGACGAUCAGUAGCUGGUCUGAGAGGAUGAUCAGCCACACUGGAACUGAGACACGGUCCAGACUCCUACGGGAGGCAGCAGUGGGGAAUCUUGCGCAAUGGGGGCAACCCUGACGCAGCCAUACCGCGUGUGUGAUGAAGGUCUUCGGAUUGUAAAGCACUUUCAGCGGGGACGACAAUGACGGUACCCGCAGAAGAAGUCACGGCUAACUUCGUGCCAGCAGCCGCGGUAAU